UACGGAGGAUGCGAGCGUUGUCCGGAUUUAUUGGGCGUAAAGCGAGCGCAGGUGGUUUAUUAAGUCUGGUGUAAAAGGCAGUGGCUCAACCAUUGUAUGCAUUGGAAACUGGUAGACUUGAGUGCAGGAGAGGAGAGUGGAACUCCAUGUGUAGCGGUGAAAUGCGUAGAUAUAUGGAGGAACACCGGUGGCGAAAGCGGCUCUCUGGCCUGUAACUGACACUGAGGCUCGAAAGCGUGGGGAGCAAACAGG
RNAcentral lists this ribosomal RNA (252 nucleotides) under uncultured bacterium. RNAcentral describes it as "partial 16S ribosomal RNA". It matches the Rfam family "Bacterial small subunit ribosomal RNA", at positions 524 to 776 of the family's 1533-position model. The record is from RNAcentral.